This 788-nucleotide non-coding RNA is filed under the name Siphona sp. 1 HNL-2023a. The record is from RNAcentral. Lineage: Eukaryota; Metazoa; Arthropoda; Insecta; Diptera; Tachinidae.
AAAUAAUUUUAUUUUAGUUAAUAAGAUUAUUAUUAAUUUAACUUAUAUGUAAUUUUUUGAAUGAUUAUUUUAUUAUUUUAAAAAUAAUAAUUAUAUUUAAUUAAUCGCAAUAAUUGGGUAUUAUAUAUUAAAGAAAUUUAGAAAUAGUAAUAUUAAAUAGUAUUGAUAAAAUUUGUGCCAGCAAUCGCGGUUAUACUAAAAAUACAAAUAAUUUUUAUUUAUUUAAGUAAAAAUGUUAAUUUUAUUAGUAAGUAUAUUUAUUAAGUGAAAUUUUAAAUAUAUAAAUAUAUAAUUUAUUUUUAUAGUUGAUUCUUGAAAAUUUUAAGUAUAAACUAGGAUUAGAUACCCUAUUAUAUAAAAUAAAAUUUUAAAAAUAUAAGUAGUAAUAGUUAUGUUCUUGAAACUUAAAAAAUUUGGCGGUAUUUUAGUCUAUUCAGAGGAACUUGUUUUAUAAUCGAUAAUCCACGUUGGACCUUUCUUAAAUUAGUUUACAAUUUAUAUACCGUCGUUAUUAGAAUAUUUUAUUAGAAUAAUAAUUUUCUUAAUUUUUAAUUAAAAUUUAUAUCAGAUCAAGGUGUAGUUUAUGUUUAAGUAUAAAUGGGUUACAAUAAAUAUAUUUAAAUGGAUUUAAAUUUGAAAUAUUUAUUGAAAUUGGAUUUGGUAGUAAAAUUAUAUAGAUAAAUAAUUUGAUUUUAGCUCUAUAAUAUGUACAUAUCGCCCGUCACUCUUUCUAUUAAGAAAGAUAAGUCGUAACAUAGUAGAUUUACUGGAAAGUGUAUCUAGAUUAC